RNAcentral lists this ribosomal RNA (477 nucleotides) under uncultured bacterium. RNAcentral describes it as "partial 16S ribosomal RNA". It matches the Rfam family "Bacterial small subunit ribosomal RNA", at positions 28 to 507 of the family's 1533-position model. The record is from RNAcentral.
GAUGAACGCUGGCGGCGUGCCUAACACAUGCGAGUCGAACGAAGCACCUUACCUGAUUCUUCGGAUGAAAGUUUGGUGACUGAGUGGCGGACGGGUGAGUAACGCGUGGGUAACCUGCCCUGUACAGGGGGAUAACAGCUGGAAACGGCUGCUAAUACCGCAUAAGCGCACGAGGAGACAUCUCCUUGUGUGAAAAACUCCGGUGGUACAGGAUGGGCCCGCGUCUGAUUAGCUGGUUGGCAGGGUAACGGCCUACCAAGGCAACGAUCAGUAGCCGGUCUGAGAGGAUGAACGGCCACAUUGGAACUGAGACACGGUCCAAACUCCUACGGGAGGCAGCAGUGGGGAAUAUUGCACAAUGGGGGAAACCCUGAUGCAGCAACGCCGCGUGAGUGAAGAAGUAUUUCGGUAUGUAAAGCUCUAUCAGCAGGGAAGAUAAUGACGGUACCUGACUAAGAAGCUCCGGCUAAAUACGUG